Molecule: long non-coding RNA, 323 nt
Organism: Cornus florida
Lineage: Eukaryota; Viridiplantae; Streptophyta; Magnoliopsida; Cornales; Cornaceae
Exons: 2
Source: RefSeq, a predicted model, not a curated record
GUAAUUUCUCACGCACAAGAGACCCUUAGGACACUUGUUUUUCAACGUUCAACAUUUGGGGGCAUCAAUUCGAAGCUUAGCAAUGUCAGCAGCCGCCUUCCAACGGUAAACCAUAUACUCUCAUCAACAAAGAAGAAAAAGUCUAUGGAUACCAUCAUCCUUUCUUUAGUUGCCUCAGUUUGCACAUUUCUCAUUUUGAUUUAUUGGUUGACCAAAUAGAAAUUAUUGCGGUUUUCUUGUGGGAGCCUCACGGCAUGUUCUUUCCUCCAUUGUAUUUUAUGUAAAUACCGUGUCGGUUUGUUAAUAAAUUUUGGCAUUCUUCA